Molecule: ribosomal RNA, 253 nt
Filed under: uncultured bacterium
Lineage: Bacteria
Description: partial 16S ribosomal RNA
Rfam family: Bacterial small subunit ribosomal RNA
Source: RNAcentral
UACGUAGGGGGCUAGCGUUGUCCGGAAUCAUUGGGCGUAAAGAGCGUGUAGGCGGCCCGGUAAGUCCGCUGUGAAAGUCGGGGGCUCAACCCUGGAAUGCCGGUGGAAACUGUCGGGCUGGAGUCCGGAAGAGGCGAGUGGAAUUCCUGGUGUAGCGGUGAAAUGCGCAGAUAUCAGGAGGAACACCAAUGGCGAAGGCAGCUCGCUGGGACGGUACUGACGCUGAGACGCGAAAGCGUGGGGAGCAAACAGG